This 515-nucleotide ribosomal RNA is filed under the name uncultured bacterium. RNAcentral's name for it is "partial 16S ribosomal RNA". It matches the Rfam family "Bacterial small subunit ribosomal RNA", at positions 28 to 523 of the family's 1533-position model. The record is from RNAcentral.
GAUGAACGCUGGCGGCGUGCCUAAUACAUGCAAGUCGAGCGAAUGGAUUAAGAGCUUGCUCUUAUGAAGUUAGCGGCGGACGGGUGAGUAACACGUGGGCAACCUGCCCAUAAGACUGGGAUAACUCCGGGAAACCGGGGCUAAUACCGGAUAACAUUUUGAACCGCAUGGUUCGAAAUUGAAAGGCGGCUUCGGCUGUCACCUAUGGAUGGACCCGCGUCGCAUUAGCUAGUGGGUGAGGUAACGGCGCACCAAGGCAACGAUGCGUAGCCGACCUGAGAGGGUGAUCGGCCACACUGGGACUGAGACACGGCCCAGACUCCUACGGGAGGCAGCAGUAGGGAAUCUUCCGCAAUGGACGAAAGUCUGACGGAGCAACGCCGCGUGAGUGAUGAAGGCUUUCGGGUCGUAAAACUCUGUUGUUAGGGAAGAACAAGUGCUAGUUGAAUAAGCUGACACCUUGACGGUACCUAACCAGAAAGCCACGGCUAACUACGUGCCAGCCGCCGCAGUAA